GCACCAGCAAAAUAUGGUGUCGGGCGUGGAAACCCGUUGAACAUAAAGGCGACACAGACGCCAAUAGCGUCUUUUUU
This 77-nucleotide small RNA is filed under the name Salmonella enterica subsp. enterica serovar Derby. RNAcentral describes it as "isrK". It matches the Rfam family "isrK Hfq binding RNA". The record is from RNAcentral. Lineage: Bacteria; Pseudomonadati; Pseudomonadota; Gammaproteobacteria; Enterobacterales; Enterobacteriaceae. RNAcentral also lists the same sequence under 5 other names.